GUGAGGGGGCCUGUGGCCCCAGCGUGCUGUGGCCUCCGGGAGUGGGAAGUGGAGGCAGGAGCCUUCCUUACACUUCGCCAUGAGUUUCCUGAUCGACUCCAGCAUCAUGAUUACCUCCCAGAUACUAUUUUUUGGAUUUGGGUGGCUUUUCUUCAUGCGCCAAUUGUUUAAAGACUAUGAGGUGAGAAGAAAUCAUUUUGUCAUACUUACACUAUAUGAAUUUAGAUUGACAAGAAAAAUGUCUCCAUUAAAGAAACAUUAUGUUCAUUU
RNAcentral lists this long non-coding RNA (270 nucleotides) under Pan troglodytes (chimpanzee). RNAcentral describes it as "long non-coding RNA NONPTRT000049". Lineage: Eukaryota; Metazoa; Chordata; Mammalia; Primates; Hominidae. The record is from RNAcentral.